GACGAACGCUGGCGGCGUGCUUAACACAUGCAAGUCGAACGGGAAGUCCCUGCUUUGGGGGGGUGCGCGGGGUGCGAACGGGGGAGUAGCACUUGGGUAACCUGCCCUUGACUGUGGGAGAACUUCAUGCAACUUGGUGUAAUAGGGGAUAGGAUCUCCUGCUUCAGGGUGGGGGUGGGAAGGUUUCGGCGGUUGGGGAUGGACUCGCGGCUUAUCAGCUUGAUGGUGGGGUAGUGGGUGACGAAGGCUUUGACGGGUAGCCGGCGGGAGAGGGUGACCAGCCACAUUGGGACUGAGACACGGCCCAGACCCAUACGCGUGGCAGAAGUGGGGAAUAUUGAAAUAUGGGCGGAAGCGUGAUCCAGAACCGCCGCGUGCGGGAUGACGGUCUUCGGGUUGUAAUCCGAAUUCGCUUUUGCCGAAGCGUGUGUGACCGUAACGGGUAAAGAAGCACCGGCUAACUACGUG
This 468-nucleotide ribosomal RNA is filed under the name uncultured bacterium. RNAcentral's name for it is "partial 16S ribosomal RNA". It matches the Rfam family "Bacterial small subunit ribosomal RNA", at positions 28 to 507 of the family's 1533-position model. The record is from RNAcentral.